This 253-nucleotide ribosomal RNA is filed under the name uncultured bacterium. RNAcentral describes it as "partial 16S ribosomal RNA". It matches the Rfam family "Bacterial small subunit ribosomal RNA", at positions 524 to 776 of the family's 1533-position model. The record is from RNAcentral.
UACAGAGGUCCCAAGCGUUGUUCGGAUUCACUGGGCGUAAAGGGUGCGUAGGCGGUCGGGUAAGUCUGAUGUGAAAUCUCACAGCUUAACUGUGAAACUGCAUUGGAUACUAUCCGGCUUGAGGAAUGGAGGGGAGACUGGAAUACUUGGUGUAGCAGUGAAAUGCGUAGAUAUCAAGUGGAACACCAGUGGCGAAGGCGGCUCACUGGCCCGGUACUGACGCUGAGGUGCGAAAGCGUGGGGAGCAAACAGG